Molecule: transfer RNA, 72 nt
Filed under: Candidatus Pacearchaeota archaeon
Lineage: Archaea; Nanobdellati
Description: tRNA-Arg
Rfam family: tRNA
About the family: Transfer RNA (tRNA) molecules are approximately 80 nucleotides in length. Their secondary structure includes four short double-helical elements and three loops (D, anti-codon, and T loops).
Source: RNAcentral
GCCCCUAUAGUUUAACGGAUAGAACGCAACCUUGCGGAGGUUGAAAUCGAGGUUCAAUUCCUCGUGGGGGCA